RNAcentral lists this ribosomal RNA (400 nucleotides) under uncultured bacterium. Its description in RNAcentral is "bacterial SSU rRNA". It matches the Rfam family "Bacterial small subunit ribosomal RNA", at positions 356 to 773 of the family's 1533-position model. The record is from RNAcentral.
GGGGAAUAUUGGACAAUGGGGGAAACCCUGAUCCAGCCAUGCCGCGUGAGUGAUGAAGGCCUUAGGGUUGUAAAGCUCUUUCACCCACGACGAUGAUGACGGUAGUGGGAGAAGAAGCCCCGGCUAACUCCGUGCCAGCAGCCGCGGUAAUACGGAGGGGGCAAGCGUUGUUCGGAAUUACUGGGCGUAAAGGGCGCGUAGGCGGUCUGUCGCGUCAGGUGUGAAAGCCCCGGGCUCAACCUGGGAGGUGCACUUGAUACGGGCAGGCUCGAGUCCGAGAGAGGUGAGUGGAAUUCCCAGUGUAGAGGUGAAAUUCGUAGAUAUUGGGAAGAACACCAGUGGCGAAGGCGGCUCACUGGCUCGGAACUGACGCUGAGGCGCGAAAGCGUGGGGAGCAAAC